AUUGAACGCUGGCGGCAGGCCUAACACAUGCAAGUCGAGCGGAUGAAGGGAGCUUGCUCCUGGAUUCAGCGGCGGACGGGUGAGUAAUGCCUAGGAAUCUGCCUGGUAGUGGGGGAUAACGUCCGGAAACGGGCGCUAAUACCGCAUACGUCCUGAGGGAGCAAGUGGGGGAUCUUCGGACCUCACGCUAUCAGAUGAGCCUAGGUCGGAUUAGCUAGUUGGUGGGGUAAAGGCCUACCAAGGCGACGAUCCGUAACUGGUCUGAGAGGAUGAUCAGUCACACUGGAACUGAGACACGGUCCAGACUACUACGAGAGGCAGCAGUGGGGAAUAUUGGACAAUGGGCGAAAGCCUGAUCCAGCCAUGCCGCGUGUGUGAAGAAGGUCUUCGGAUUGUAAAGCACUUUAAGUUGGGAGAAAGGGCAGUAAGUUAAUACCUUGCUGUUUUGACGUUACCAACAGAAUAAGCACCGGCUAACUUCGUG
This 484-nucleotide ribosomal RNA is filed under the name uncultured bacterium. RNAcentral's name for it is "partial 16S ribosomal RNA". It matches the Rfam family "Bacterial small subunit ribosomal RNA", at positions 30 to 507 of the family's 1533-position model. The record is from RNAcentral.